CCGCGACCUGGAGAGGAAGAUAUUGAUUUAAACAGGUGUCAGGGAGGGAAAGUAGAGUAAAUUUAAAUGCGACGGGAGAGCGGCACGUUGCACGCGGAACGGGGCGGGGAUGACAUUUUGCGCAUUGCCUUGAACGAAAGUGACUCAACUGGACUAGAAAUUUCACCUUGAAAAUCAUCUCCCAUCGACACAAUCAAACACCCCUACCACGACACCCCUGCAUCCCCCAAGGCAGUAGGGAGGGCUGGAGUGGCAGCAGAGGGGACUCCCAGUGUCCUCAGGCUGUAGAGGCCUGGUCUCCUGCAGUAUCCCCAGGAGGCCCUUUGGAGGGGCCAGGGGCACAGGCCCAGGGACCCGUGGCCUCCUGCCUCCUGGCCUCUGAGUCCCCCUCUGCAACCCAGGCAGGUGUUUCCUGAGGGCCCUGUGGCCUGCUGUCCCUCUGAGACCUCUGUGAGACCCAGCCAUCACCUAGCUUCUUGGGCCCUGGCAACCAGAGGUCCUCCGAGUGCACAAACGUGGCUUGAGGACAGGGCCACCCCUUUCCUGCUCCCAGCUGUCCAGGAGGAAAGGAGGAGACAGGCCUGGCUGCCAUACCCCCACCCCAGAAGUAGAGGCAGCCAGAGGGAGGAGGGCCAGGCCUGCCAGGCCCUGUGGUCUCAGCCCAAGGCUCCCCUGAGCCCCAUCCUCCUCCUGAGACUGGAGGCAAACUUGGGCCAGGUGAUGUGGUGCAGCUGUGCAUCUUGGCUUCCCCCUUGAGCUGGUCCUGGGGUGGGGGUUUUGAGCCACUUCUGGUCUACAUGACCCUGAGAACCCCAAAUGGAAAGGUCCAGGACAUGUUCUGGGUGCUCUCCUCUUCCUUUGAAGCUUCCCAAUGUGGAGAUGCUGGGGAGGCUUCUCUGUUUCCCUACCUCAGGCAGCUCUUCCUCUAUGACCCUCAGGGUGGACAAGAAGGGCCUCUGGCUGGUACUGCCCAGGCUGGACAGGUGACCUCUUCCACGUCCAGAGCUGCUGCCCCAAUAGGGCCCUGAGGGGCUGAGCACAGGCCUUCCUCGGGGCUGGACACUGACCAGGUCCUCCAGCUCCUCCUGCUGUGACAGCAGAUGUAGCCAGGUGAGGUCAGGUGUAGCCCGGCUGACCUCAGUCCACAUGCUGGGCACCAAGCCGAGUGGGGAGGCCAACCUCACCCAGCUCAUGACCAUCAGCUCCAGGGGCUGGAGGAGGAAGCAUCCACCUGUGACCCAGCCUGGCAAGAGGACGGCCACUGGUGGACAGGAAGGACCUCAGGCCUCAUGCACAGGGCCGCUCCAGGCCACCUCAAGGCAGUGCUGUAAUAGCAGGCUCCUGUCCAACCUCUGCUCCCUCAGGCCAUAAACUGCCCCUGUGGGAAGACCCCCAGCAGCAUCUCACCGCCCUGGAAGGAGACUGGCAAGCAUGUACAAUCUGUCCCUGUCCCCAGCCCCAUACCUGUCCUCCCACCUAGUCUGCUUCCCCCUAAACAAUCUUUCCCUUUCAGCCCUACGUGGCCUGUCCUUCCCUGCAACCCUAUGCAAUUGCCCACCUCCCUCUGACCAUGGUCCUCUGCUGUGGCUGGACAUUUAGGUCAGCCGGGCCACAGGGCUCUUGCCUCUGCUGCUCCCUGCUGAGAAGGCUUCUCUCAGCACUCUGCAUGGCCUCUCCUCCACUGCCUCUCCUCCACUGCCUCUGGAGGUCCUUUUUAUCCUCUGCAGUACUAGGGAUUGAACCCAGGGCCCUCACACUGAGCUAUAUCCUCAGCCAUUUUUAUUUUGAGACUCAUGAAGACUCACAGAGACUCAUGAAGUCACUCAAUCGUCCAGGCUCAAAUCCAUUAAGUCAAUGCUCCUGCCUCAGCCCUCAAGAGUGCCAAGAUUAUAGGUAGGUGUCACCAGGCCUGGCUUUCUGAGAGGUCUUUUCUGGCCAACCUGGAUAAAGCAGCUCCUUUUUCUUGUGCCUUGGCCUUAUUUCUGAUAUGACACUGAUCAGCACAGCACCUAGAACUGCCCAGGACAACCAGGUGGUACCUGCUGCCUGCUGCAUGCCAGGUAACAAGGUGUGGGGCCAGGAGCCAGUGGCACCUGGUCAGAGGCCCAGAGUCUCUUGCAAAAUUGAGCUGAUUCACCCUUUCUGAGGUUUAGUUCUGCAUCUGCAAGUGGGGGCCCAGGGUCCUCUGCCCGUCUCUCAGUGCUGCAGUAAGCCCUGAGUAGGUGGGGCUGGGAACAGGGCCUGGCCUCUCUCUUUCCACCCUUCACAGGAAGAGAACUUGAACACUGGUCUCCACGGUGACCCUGGACAGACACCGCAGCAGAAGACAGGGGCUUCCGAGGCCCCUGCACAGCACACAGGACUGGUAACCAGGGAGCUACUGGGGGGCAAGGCUUGAGGAAGACCCUCCCAUCGUGAGCAGCUUGGGUCUGGAUCCUGGAGUUCUGGGAAACAGGUGACAAGAAUCGUGGCUGUGCCGCCAGAUUUUCAUGGGACCCCAGGCAGUUCCCCAUCCUUGGGACACUCAGACGGCUCCACGGGGACAGGGACAGUUCUAGUGUUUACGGUCAUUCCCACACUCACAAAUGCAUCUGAUCCAGGCCCCAGGGACUCCUGGAAGUUGUUAUCAGGUGUCAUGUGCCUGUCACUUUCCAGGGGCAAGGCCCCCAGCUCUCACCAGGCUUCUCUAGGGGCAUCUCUCUGUUUUCCCCCCAAACAACCCCAGAAGACCCGAGGUGGGCGACCCCACUCCACACCACCUGUAAGUGGGAGCCGGGCUGCCAGCCCAUACCCCUCCAAGUAUGCUUAAUAUGGGCUGGAUUUACCACAAACACAGUUCUCCCUAGGUUUCCUGGCCCCUUUAGAAAAGCAAUAUGCCACCUAAAUGUGUGUUUUUAUUACUUUCUCUAUUAUAAGUAAAAAUAUUGUAAUACCAUCUGACGAUCCACCAGCUGUCUGCGCAAACGGUGGGUGCUGUUCCAGGGAAGUUGGGCUGUGGGUGUGGGACCGCUAUCUGGGGAGGGCACUCUUGGAUUUCUGCUGAGACUGGCCCCACAUAUGCCAGGCCACAUGUUCCUGGGCUGGGAGCGGAUAAUUGUGCCCAUUUAUCUUAUGAUAGCUGAAAGUGCAAACACUAUAAAAGAGCGCAGUAGUGGUGGAAGGAUGGAGGAGUGGGGUGCACACCAGCUCUGGAAGCAGCAAGGUGGAUGCAGCCCUGGCCAGUACUGGGGGUUUGGGGGAAGAAAUGACAUGGCUAUGGCCUGGGAAGGGACACAGGGAGAUGGGUCACAGCCCCCUCCCCAUCCUGAUACCAGUGUCUGAGUUUUCCAGGUAGAAAUCAACACCUGAGGAUCUGGUGGGCCAGGGACAGUGGUAGGUCCCUUCUUGUCAAACAAAUCUAUGGCUAACAGUAUUCAGGAGACACAUACUGAUGCCGAAGUAUGGGAAACUUGACAAUUUCUCAGUCUGGACCAGAAGUGGCCAUGCAGGCUGAAUCUGCCCAACAGGUCCAGACAUCUGGCAACUCUGGGAGCAGGAGCUGGGCUGCGUCACACUCUUACCAAUCCUAGGAAACCCCAGGGAACUCAGGAUGCCCCUGGAAUACACUCAGCCCUCAUGCUCCCACUUAUCUGAGGGGUGACCUUGAGCUCCCUGGGACAGGGAAGGGCUGGGCCCCCAGAAGAGGGCCAGUGGGUGGUCAAUUUCCAGGUUCCCUGGGUGUUCCAGGUCCUCUUGCUCCUUGUCACCAAGGCAGCAUCAUCUGUGUGAAUGUGACACACCAGGAUGGAUAUUUCAUCUCUCUCGUUCCCGCUGUCUCCCCGGCCCUGGCACACAGUACAGCAGGGGGCUCUCUUCCACUCAUAUAUGCAGCCAACCUCACCAACCUACAAGAUCUCUGUGGCCAUGUGAGUCUGUGGCUCUGCUCUUCCCCUCAAACAACCAUUUUACAAGGGAGAAGACUGAUAUCCCAGCUGUACCUUGCAGGGUGGAGACAGGUGGGAAGUGACCCAGGUCCAAGCCUCCACUGAGCCCCUCAGGCCAGCGAUCACCCCCUCCCCAGCCUCACCAUCCUUCAUGAAGUCCAGACUUUGGGCAUUACCCCAUCCCCCAGGAUAAAGCCAACUCAGGGCCUGACCUGCCCAGAAGGCUCGGGGGUCCAGCCAUGCUGGCAGAGGGCUGAAGAGAGUGGCAGGUGGAGAAGCCAGGGGAAGGGGAGUGGGGCGCUAUGGAAAAGGGGCCUGGCCGAUCACUUUGAUGUUCAGACCAUGAAACUUCUCAAAUUAUAAGAGAGAAUCACUUUUGAGCCUUUAAGUGGCUCCGAAUAAACCAACUGUCCAAAGAUACAAUGAAAAACCGUCACCAGCUCUCAGUAACAAGGCAGGAAAAAUUGUCAGUGCUGCGAUGAAUAUUAAAAGCCCCAUCUGUGAAAAACACCCUGGAAAUAUGUCUCAGAGGAGCCAGGCGGGAGGUGCUGGAGAGGCUGGCCGCCUAGAGGCCCCCACCCAGGGCAGGGCAGGCAGUGGGAGAGGAGACAGGCACCCGGGGAGCUGCGGGUGGCAUCCAUCCGAGAGCAGAGCCAACCCACCUGGGCUACAGGUAUGGAGGUCCUGGGCCCCCCCGCACGAGGCAGCCCCAAGAAGGGGGAGGCCAGCCCCCCACUUACUGUGCCCUCUGCCAGGGAUGGCAGGAGACAGGAGCUUAUCCCCACCCUCCCACCACAGCCGGGCCCUGCCUGAGAAGAGGUGACCACGUUAGACCCUGCCAGCCCCAGGAGACCCUGGAACCAUCCAGCCCCGGCUCUGCCACUUCCUCUUCAGGAGCCUUUGGCCACCUCACCCCCUCUGUGGACCUUGGUUUCCUGGACAGGGCUGGGUGGGGGGCUGAAAGUUCGGGGGGAUGUUGCCCCCCAUAGAAAGCAGAGGGGACCGUGUGAAAUGCCCAGGCCUGGACCCCAGGGACAUAGGCUCCUGCUAGGGUCGGGGCAGGAAGAAGGGAGGGGGCCAUAAAGGAGAAGCCCCCCGGAUACCUUCUGGGCCCAGUAUCCAUAUCCUGGGGCCCUCCUGCCCUGUACCUUGCACGCACCCCUGGCUCCUCCAUGGCUGCCCACCCCGACCACAUCAUCUCUCCCUGCAGCCGUGGCCCCCGCCCCCCAGCUUGGUGCCUGGUUGGGGUUGGGGGCAGCAGAAGGGGUCUGGCUGCUGCUCAGAACCACCACAGAGGAAGGAGGCCAUAGGUCCCCACGUUCAGGGUGCUAAAAGCUAGUGACACUUGGGCUCCGUCGCACACAGGCCUGCUAAUGACACCUGGGCCACAGGUCUUGAAUGGACACUUGGGAAAGGUGGGCCAGCCGUACCCCUGCUCUUAUGCAGGGCCACCCACUGAGGAGGUCCCUCCCAGGCCCAGCUGCUUCUUUGGGCUCUCUGAGGGGUGGUGGAGGGGAGGAGUCCCUGCUCUGCCCGAGUCUGCCUUCCCAGCCCUGGGCAGUGGGGAUCUACAAAGCUGUUUGCAUGAGUGGCAUUUCUCAGCAGCAAUCCCAGGUGGUCCCACAGACCACCCUAUCCCCAGGAGAACCAAGAGCCAGAGAAGGGGCCAGGAAGCUGCAGCAAAGAGGCUGCUGCUCAGGUCACCUGGCAGGGAUGCAGGGGAUUCCAGGCUGAGACCCAGGCUCCUCGCUUCUGGACAAGAGGCCCAGAAGCACAGUGCCCUGCCCAGGACCAGAGCCCUCCCCAGCUCUGCAGCCCACUCCCCCUCUGAGGACCCAGAAGAGCAGGGCAGGCACCGAGGUUCUGGAGCCCAGUGCAGGCCGAAGCCACCACCUCAUGUUGUCCUCCAGCUGCCUUCCUUGUAAUUAAGAGCAAACUUUGUAGCAAUGUCUCCUUUAGCUGUUGUCUUACCCCGCCUCCCAAAUGAUAAAUUGUUAAUGAGCACCUGUUACAAUGCUAAUGAAAGUGAGAUCCGUAUGUAAAUAAAGAAAAUUUAAUAACUUAA
Non-coding RNA from Heterocephalus glaber (naked mole-rat), 5988 nucleotides. Lineage: Eukaryota; Metazoa; Chordata; Mammalia; Rodentia; Bathyergidae. The record is from RefSeq and is a predicted model, not a curated record.